GUGGGGAAUAUUGCGCAAUGGGCGAAAGCCUGACGCAGCGACGCCGCGUGAGGGAUGAAGGUUUUCGGAUCGUAAACCUCUGUCAGAAGGGAAGAAACUACAUUGUGCUAAUCAGCAGUGUACUGACGGUACCUUCAAAGGAAGCACCGGCUAACUCCGUGCCAGCAGCCGCGGUAAUACGGAGGGUGCAAGCGUUAAUCGGAAUUACUGGGCGUAAAGCGCACGUAGGCUGUAGUGUAAGUCAGGGGUGAAAUCCCACGGCUCAACCGUGGAACUGCCUUUGAUACUGCACAACUUGAAUCCGGGAGAGGGUGGCGGAAUUCCAGGUGUAGGAGUGAAAUCCGUAGAUAUCUGGAGGAACAUCAGUGGCGAAGGCGGCCACCUGGACAAAGACUGACGCUCAGGUGCGAAAGCGUGGGGAGCAAACAGGAUUAGAAACCCGAGUAGUCC
RNAcentral lists this ribosomal RNA (450 nucleotides) under uncultured bacterium. RNAcentral's name for it is "partial 16S ribosomal RNA". It matches the Rfam family "Bacterial small subunit ribosomal RNA", at positions 354 to 796 of the family's 1533-position model. The record is from RNAcentral.